UACGGGGGGGGCAAGCGUUGUCCGGAAUUACUGGGCGUAAAGGGCUCGUAGGCGGCCAACUAAGUCGGAUGUGAAAUCCCCAGGCUCAACCUGGGAACUGCAUCCGAUACUGGAUGGCUUGAAUUCGGGAGAGGGAUGCAGAAUUCCAGGUGUAGCGGUGAAAUGCGUAGAUAUCUGGAGGAACACCGGUGGCGAAGGCGGCAUCCUGGACCGACAUUGACACUGAGGAGCGAAAGCCAGGGGAGCAAACGGG
RNAcentral lists this ribosomal RNA (253 nucleotides) under uncultured bacterium. RNAcentral's name for it is "partial 16S ribosomal RNA". It matches the Rfam family "Bacterial small subunit ribosomal RNA", at positions 524 to 776 of the family's 1533-position model. The record is from RNAcentral.